This 253-nucleotide ribosomal RNA is filed under the name uncultured bacterium. RNAcentral describes it as "partial 16S ribosomal RNA". It matches the Rfam family "Bacterial small subunit ribosomal RNA", at positions 524 to 776 of the family's 1533-position model. The record is from RNAcentral.
GACAGAGGUCCCGAGCGUUAGGCGGAAUCACUGGGCUUAAAGCGUGUGUAUGCGGUUGUCUAAGUCCCUUGUGAAAUCCCACGGCUUAACCGUGGAAUUGCUUGGUAUACUGGAUGUCUUGAGCCAGCUAGGGGCAACCGGAACAAAUGGUGGAGCGGUGAAAUGCGUAGAUAUCAUUUGGAACGCCAAUGGUGAAAACAGGUUGCUGGGGCUGUGCUGACGCUGAGACACGAAAGCCAGGGGAGCAAACGGG